UACGGGGGGGGCAAGCGUUGUUCGGAAUUACUGGGCGUAAAGGGCUCGUAGGCGGCCAACUAAGUCGGACGUGAAAUCCCUCGGCUUAACCGGGGAACUGCGUCCGAUACUGGAUGGCUCGAGUGUGGGAGAGGGAUGCGGAAUUCCAGGUGUAGCGGUGAAAUGCGCAGAUAUCGGGAAGAACACCCGUGGCGAAGGCGGCUCUCUGGGACGGUACUGACGCUGAGACGCGAAAGCGUGGGGAGCGAACAGG
RNAcentral lists this ribosomal RNA (253 nucleotides) under uncultured bacterium. RNAcentral describes it as "partial 16S ribosomal RNA". It matches the Rfam family "Bacterial small subunit ribosomal RNA", at positions 524 to 776 of the family's 1533-position model. The record is from RNAcentral.